AUGAUCGUUUCAUGUUAACAACUUGGAGGAUACAUUGGUUGCUUCACGUUAGACCCGGAAAGAAGACCGCCGGUAAUGAUUAUGAAGCAGAGUCGCAUAGUAAUGGACCCGUGAACAGAUGUGAGGACGAGUAUUUCAAAAAAUCAAAGGUAAGUUUGAUUGUUAACACGGUACAUACAUACGAUAUUAUGUGAUGAUUGUGUUUUAUGGUCCUUGUGAUGCAGACUUAUAUUCCUCUAAACAAGCAAAAUAAUCACUGGAUUACUGUCGUCAUGCAUAGCGGAAAAAGAGAGUUUCAGAUUCUUGACUCGUUGAUGACCGGAAAACUUGACACUGUUACUAGAGAACUCGUUGAGGACCUGAGAAAACAACUAGCAGAAGAUAUCCAAGAAGCAAAUGCAACCGGAAUUGUGAAUUAUCCGGAUGUUUCCAAGUGGCCUAUUCAAACGUAUGACAUGCCAAAACAACAUGAUGGGUACGCAAGUCAUGUUUGGACUACGAUGUACAAUGAACGCUGUGCUAACACCAUUUUUUUUCAGACCUCAAUUGAUGAUUCAAGAGAGUUAAUGAUUGCGCAACUUAUAUUUUCGGAAAGAAACAAGCUUGAUGAAGUGAAAAACAAAGUUAUUCGGAUAUCAAAGAAGAAGAAAUAGAUGCGGCACGGAGG
Molecule: long non-coding RNA, 667 nt
Organism: Triticum aestivum (bread wheat)
Lineage: Eukaryota; Viridiplantae; Streptophyta; Magnoliopsida; Poales; Poaceae
Exons: 3
Source: RefSeq, a predicted model, not a curated record